This 492-nucleotide ribosomal RNA is filed under the name uncultured bacterium. RNAcentral describes it as "partial 16S ribosomal RNA". It matches the Rfam family "Bacterial small subunit ribosomal RNA", at positions 29 to 507 of the family's 1533-position model. The record is from RNAcentral.
AGUGAACGCUGGCGGUAGGCCUAACACAUGCAAGUCGAACGGCAGCACAGUAAGAGCUUGCUCUUACGGGUGGCGAGUGGCGGACGGGUGAGGAAUACAUCGGAAUCUACUUUUUCGUGGGGGAUAACGUAGGGAAACUUACGCUAAUACCUCAUACGACCUACGGGUGAAAGCAGUGGAUCUUCGGACCUUGCGCGAUUGAAUGAGCCGAUGUCGGAUUAGCUAGUUGGCGGGGUAAAGGCCCACCAAGGCGACGAUCCGUAGCUGGUCUGAGAGGAUGAUCAGCCACACUGGAACUGAGACACGGUCCAGACUCCUACGGGAGGCAGCAGUGGGGAAUAUUGGACAAUGGGCGCAAGCCUGAUCCAGCCGUACCGCGUGGGUGAAGAAGGCCUUCGGGUUGUAAAGCCCUUUUGUUGGGAAAGAAAAGCAGCAGGUUAAUACCCCGCUGUUCUGACGGUACCCAAAGAAUAAGCACCGGCUAACUUCGUG